UACUAGAGUAGCACUCGCAUAUCAAUAAGCGGAGGAAAAGAAACUAACAAGGAUUCCCCUAGUAACGGCGAGUGAAGCGGGAAGAGCUCAAAUUUGAAAUCUUAAAGGGUUUCCCUUUACGAAUUGUAGUUUAAAGAAGUGUUUUCUGUUGAGGUUUUGGUAAAAGUUCUUUGGAAUAGGACAUCAUAGAGGGUGAGAAUCCCGUAUUUGACCUUUACUUUCAACUUUGUGAUACACUUUCAAAGAGUCGGAUUGUUUGGGAAUGCAGUCCAAAAUGGGUGGUAAAUUUUCAUCUAAAGCCAAAUAUUGGCGAGAGACCGAUAGCGAACAAGUACCGUGAGGGAAAGAUGAAAAGAACUUUGAAAAGAGAGUUAAACAGUACGUGAAAUUGUCAAAAGGGAAGCGUUUGACACCAGUGUUGUUUUUCUGAAAAUCAAUUAAAGAACUGUUUAUGCUAAGUUGUUUAGACUUUAUCAGCUAACUGUUUAGUUUUGAGCUUUUCUUUAAUGCACUUUUCAGUUAACAAGUCAACAUCAAUUUCUUUUGCUGUAAAAAAGCUUGAGGAAGGUGGCUUGAGAUUCGUCUUAAGUGUUUAUAGCCUCUUGCCUAUGCAGUCGGAGAGAUUGAGGUCUGCAGCGUAGAUCCUUCGGGGCUAAAUGCAUUUGUGCUAAGUUAUAGCAUUUUAUAGACAACUUGUUGACUAUGAUUUGUCUUGUAGCUUACUCGCUUAUGUUAUUUUACCUACGCUUAGGAUGUUGAUAUCGCGCUCUCACUG
This 775-nucleotide ribosomal RNA is filed under the name uncultured Neocallimastigales. RNAcentral describes it as "partial large subunit ribosomal RNA". It matches the Rfam family "Eukaryotic large subunit ribosomal RNA", at positions 20 to 643 of the family's 3401-position model. The record is from RNAcentral. Lineage: Eukaryota; Fungi; Neocallimastigomycota; Neocallimastigomycetes; Neocallimastigales.